Molecule: long non-coding RNA, 7187 nt
Filed under: Ananas comosus (pineapple)
Lineage: Eukaryota; Viridiplantae; Streptophyta; Magnoliopsida; Poales; Bromeliaceae
Description: long non-coding RNA (ACOM_LNC004282)
Source: RNAcentral
CUCGUCCCGGCCCGCCCCGCGCCGGUCCAACUCGGGCCGGUUCGCGUACGUCUGGGUAGGGAACUCGGCGGCCCAGUGCCCGGGCCAGUGCGCGUGGCCCUUCCACCGGCCCAUCUACGGCCCACAGACCCCGCCGCUGGUGGCGCCUAACGGCGACGUCGGGGUCGACGGCAUGGUGAUCAACCUCGCCAGCAUGAUCGCCGGCGCCGUUACGAAUCCGUUUGGGGACGGGUUCUUCCAGGGGCCCAAGGAGGCGCCGUUAGAGGCGGCGACGGCGUGCACGGGGGUGUACGGGAAGGGGGCGUAUCCUGGGUACGCCGGGGACCUGCUGGUGGACCCCGCCACGGGUGCGAGCUACAACGCGAAUGGGGCCCACGGGAGGAAGUACUUGGUUCCGGCACUCUUUGACCCGUCAACGUCCUCCUGCUCCACCUUGGUGUAGGACUGGAUCGGACUACUUUUUGUACACACGUGAACUAGUUACAAAAGAAAAGAGACUAGAAAAUAAAAAAAAACAAAAUAUGGAGGCGUGCGUAGUGCUAUAUAUAUAUAUAUAUACAAAAUAUAGUUUGUAUGUGUAAUUCUUUCGUUUGUUCGACGAGACUGAAAUAGUAUCUCAAUGUAAAUGUAAGUUUUCCAUAAUAUAUUACCUUGUUAUAUGCUUGCGACAUGCAUUAUCUAUUAACUAUAUAUUAAUCCUCAAUACAAUACAAUAGCUGAUGUGGUAAAAUUUUAAUUUUUAAAAUUUUUUUUUGUUUUUUAAUAGUGAAUUUGUUCUCUCAUCUACUCCCUAUAACUUAACCUCUACAAUUUAAUUUUUUCUUUUAGUUUAGUGUGAUAUUAUUACAAACGUUUUAUUUUAACAGCUUUUAUUGUUAUAAUUUUAUAAGUGGUUUUUCAACUUUCUAUAUCAGGUUAAAUAUAAAUAGCUAAUUCAGUUAAUUAAUAAUCUUUAUUAUCCAUCAAAUAUUUUUUUUUUAUAAACUGAUAUUGCCAUUAUUAUUCAUUUUUCUAUUUUUAUUACUUUCCUAUUUGACCUGCAUGAGUAUCUAACAAUUACUAAAAAUCUUGAUCUAACUUUUCUAUAUUAGUAUUCUAAUUUUAAUAUCCAAUUUAACCCUUUUCAAAUUCCAAGCAUUUUGUAACCUAAAUUAAUUACUGUUACUUAUUUCUUACAACUUAAAAUUUUUCGUUGAGAAUAUUAAAAAGUUUGCUAACAGAGAAUACUAAUAGUCUUUGUUUUUAAAAUUUUUCAUGUGCUAUAGCUAUAAAGUCUUCCCCCAAAUUAGAAAAGUGUUUUACCAUCAUGUAUUUUCAUGCAAAAGUUAUAGAAGAUUCAAUAAAACUGCUCAACACUCCAUAGGAGCAAUAAAUCAUAAUAUAGUAAGUUUCAGCAUAUUGAUAAUAUAUUAUUUAAAUAAAUUUUUUAACAAAAUUAUGGCAAAGCUUAUAUUUUUUUUCUUUUUACAUAUAUAUUUAGAGCUCUCUCAGCUUUUGAAUAAAAAGUUAGCAUUUAAUUAGUUUUUUUUUUAGAAUAUAUGUUGAAAACUGUUUAUGGUAAUAAACAAGCCUAUUGCACCAUAAAUUUAUUCUAAACUAUGCGUCAAAAUAAAAUUUUGAUAAUAUAAUAAAUAAUUUAAAAAUUUUUUAUUAUCUCAUAUUUUAUUUUGCAAUAUUAGUUUUUAAAUACUCUAUCAACUAUAUAAUAUUAUAUGCGUUGUAUGAAAAAUUAGGUGCAAAUAAAUAAUUUUUCAUUCUUUUAGAAGUAGCAGGUUACCAUUAACCAAUGAAGGAUGCCAUAUAACUAUUAAUAUUUUGAAUGUGUUCAGUGCAUCAUAAAUUUACUCUAAGAUAUAAAUCAAAAAUAAAAUUUUGAUGGUAUAAUAAAUUAUUUAAAUAUUUUUUAAUAACUGUAUAUGACUGACUAAAAUUUUAUUUAACCGCCGCGAAGCGUGGGUCAUAUAUUAUAUAUAUAGAUAUAUAAAUGUAUAACUCUGACAUCUUUUGUCGUUUCUCUUUUCGACGCCUCUUUUUAUUUCUUUCUUUAUUUCCUCGCCAUAUUUUUUUGUAUAUUUAUAAUUUCAAACUAUCAUCGAUAAUCAAAAAUAAUAAAAAAAUUAUUUUAAUAAUAUUUACCUGCUGCAUUGUGCGGAUAAUUAUACUAGUUCUAUUGAAAGCCGUUUUAAUUCAGCUAAAGAACAUAGGGAACAACGCCACGUAUUUAAAUUUUACAUUUUUUUCAAUCGAUGUUCGGAGUAAUUAUAACUUCAGCCUAUUGUAGUUGUAGUGUAAAAUUUUCUCAUUCACCAUACUGUUUUAUCUAUUGCUAUCAUUCCAAUCAUCACUUUGACAUGUGGAAUAUUUUAUCUUGUGGGUCAUUUACGUGUUCGAUCUCUUUUUUGAAUCAAAUGGCUAAAAUUUGAAAAAAAAUAUGAUCGGACGAUUCCCUCAUUGAUCAGCGCAUGAAAUGAACGAGAAUAUGAUCGGACGAUUCCCCCUCAUUGAUCAGGCCAUGAAACGAGCCCGAAUCGUUUUUAAUCGUGGCAGUGAAAACGCAAUAUGUGUCCAAACAACAAUCUGCGGACUAACGGUAUCGAAUUGAUUCGAAGGUUUUUGAAGCUGAUUUUGGGUGAAAUUAUGACCAAAAAAAAUUCUAUAAAGGCACACUUUAUGAAACAGUAUAUGAGUGAGAACUACGUUAAAUAUAAAAAUGUUUAAACAUCAUUCUUUAACGGCUUAAGUUUUUAGAGUACAACGGUUGUUUCACAUGGUAUCAGAGCAGAAGGUACUGAGUUCGAAUCACGCCAGACUUCUAGCAUAUUAAUUUCCUCCCAUUUAAUUCAAAUCCACGUCAUGGGCCGAUUAAAAAGUUUUAAGCCCAAACCGUUCUCUAAUAGUUUAACCUUUUAGAGUACAACGGUUGUUUCACAGACAAGUCCCUAAAGUUUUGACCAUUAAGCUGAUUUUUUUUUUUUUUAAAUCAAAUUCAUAUUGUUAAACUACUAUCUUUUAAAAAAAUAUAUAAAAUGUAUAGUUUGGUUUUGAUGCCUUGAAUUAAGAAGAUGAGAUGGAGCGUUAGCAUCAAACCUUCCUCACACAAUUUUUUUGCAAGCUCCUUUUAAAAAUUAGCCUAGUAAAAAGCUUAUUUGGCAUUGCCGGAUAAAUUUCCUUUGACGCUGUGUUUGAAUAUUAAUAUUAGAAAAGGUGUUACAUAAAAUAUUUAACCAACAUAUAUUUCCUCAAAAUAAAAUUAGAAAUUUCAAAUUAUAUAUAAUGUAAUUUAUUUUUUGCUAAAGCAAAUUAAUAUGCUCUUCAAUUCACCAAACAUUAGAAAUUAUUUUUGAACAAUUUUAGGACCGGAUUGGAUGCCGGAAUAAAAUAUCUAAUAAUAAAUUACUUCAUAUAAAAAUUUUAUUAUAUAAUUAGAGAUUAAGUUUAAUUUUUAUUUUUUAAAAAUAUUUUAAAAUUAAGGAUGACAAAAUACAACCUGAUUUGAUCAACUGAUCCAAUAUAAUCAAAUUAUAGAUAAAAAAAGGCUAAAUUACAGAAAACCUCCUUGUAAUAACCCGCUUUUUCACUUUCCCUCCCUGACAUUUAAAAACCUACACUUUGCCUCCUGUAAAAUAAAAAAUAUGCACUUCACCCCCUACCGUUAGGGUUCCGUCAGAGUUCCGUUAAAAAAUAUAUUUUUAUGCCGAAAAUACCCCUCCGCCAUCUCCGUGUUGCUUCGACUCUCUCCGACUCGCCACCUCGCCGCCGCCUCGCCGCCUAGCCGCCUCGCCGUCCUCCACUGCCUCGCUCUCACCCAUAUCCCCUUCGCCGUCCUCCGCCACCUUGCCUUAGCCUUCUUUGCCCUUCUCCUACUGUCGCCGAAAUCGAGGGCGGUGAGGGUGCAGAAGGAGAAGAGGAGCAAGUGGAGAAGGAAGUGGAAAGAAAUCGCGGCCGAUUGAGGUGGGAAUCACGGCCGAACGAAGGGGCGACUGAGGAAGAUGGGAAAGAAGACGACAAUGGCGAGGGGCAAAAUGGUCAUUUUACACACCGUAACCCCCUUGUGAACAUUUUUCAUUUUACAAGGUGGCAAAGUGUAGGUUUUUAAAUGUCACGGGAGGAAAGUAAAAAAGCAGAUUAUUAUAGAAAGAUUUUCUGUAAUUUAGCCAUAAAAAAAUUUUAUUCAAAAAAUUGAAUACGGCCUUUUGAUCACACUCCGUGCCUAUCUAUCUUAGGGGGCUGGGGAGCAUUGUUAGCUUAAAGAGACCAGCAUUUUAUUCUAUAGGCGGAGGUUAGUUUGAGCCGAGUUAUAUUCGAAAUGACAGGAGGCCGAAUCGGAUUGAACCAUAUUCAAAAUGGUGUGGAAUUAGUUGAGCCGAGUUAUUAUCGAGAUUUAUAUAGAUAUUAUAUUUGUAUACUUUAAGUUAAUUGAUUAUCUUAAAUUUUAAGAUAAUGUGUUGGGAAUAUUCGACACUUGACAACUGUUGCCAGCCUUUGGUCCACCUCCUUGACGCCCCCGCCCUCAGAAGACAGCCCUUUGCCAGAAGGAAUCAAAGGCCGUGCUAGAUAUGGCCUAGUCAAUGAGCCGACACAGCGCAGUCGAAUUCCAGCUAUUCAACUCCUAAACCUUCUAUUUUAAAAAAAAUAUGGGCUAGCUAUUCGAGUUAUCUAUAUCAUCGCAUGUGUGCCAUCUGUUUCUCGUCCGUAUUUUUUAGCAAGUGAUGUAUUCGUGGUGUAGGGUGAGAGAAUUUUGUAAUUCAGCGUGUCCCUAGGGACACGGGAAACAUUGUGUAGUGUAGCAACUUAUUUUCUAUUUACUAAUUUAAUUCAAUCGACAGGAUGAAGUAUAGUACGUUAUCCAGUACCGGGUUGUUAAAUUAGCUAGUAAGCUGUCUUGGAACGAGAAGGCGGAGUGGGAGAAAUUUAUGAAUUUCACUGACUCCACUUCGUUCCUCUAUCGCACUGAAGUUGAAAAGCUGUCUCACUGUAUAAUUACGAGUGUGAGUUUUAAUAAAUUUGUGACCUUAAUGAUGGAACAAAUGUCAUUUCCGGCGAUGUUUUUCGGAGUCACGAAUCAACCUUCAGAACCCCCCAAGAUAGCCGGGUCGUAGAACUAUCUGAUUGGUUGUAUGUCGUUAUAACUAUAGUAUAAUUACAGCUAGCUAGAUUCUGUGUUUGGCUUAAUUUAUUUAAAUCCAACUACUACAGUUGGAACUGGAUAAGAAAACUUAACCGCAAUAGUUAAAACUAUGCUUAAAUUGGCAACAGUUAUAACUGCAGUAGUUGGAGAGAAUAAUUUUAAACAAAAAUAUAAACUUAGACAAUCUCACAAUCACAUAUAUAAAAUAAUAAAAUUUUAAAUAUACGGUUCUCAACUGUAUGUAACCAGUGGAAUUAUUUAUAGUUAUGAUACUUUCUAUGAUAUAAGUAAAUAAAAUACAUACAUGAGUUAUAACUGUUGCAAACUAACUAUAUACAUUUAUAGCCGACCGUUCCUAACGCAAGUAGCAAAGAGCUUAAUGGUUGAUAUUUGAAGUCCCAAGUUCGAAUCUUAGUUGAUUCAUAUUUUUAACUAAGUUUAUUUUUAAAUGAAAUAAAUAAAACGAAUAGCAUAAUAUCUAUCUUUCAAAAAAAUACUGUAUAUAUUUAUAGUAAUAUGCAUAUUUAAUUAUACUGUAUUUUUAAUUGCAUCGAGCCAAAUGGGUGUCAAAUUAUCUAAUAGAGGUACCAAGCAAGCAUUGUUCGUAUAGAAGGGAACCACACCGUGCAUUAAAAGUACCAGUAAAAUCUAAGCUAACCAGCUAAAUUCAGACCGAAACCGACCCUGUUCCGUAGUCAUGUAGAGCUUACAGGAAAGUUCAUGCAUCACAUGCCCUCCAAUUAAUUCGUCCCCAUCCAGAAAUCAGCGGCGUAGUCGACGGAUUAGGCCUCCUCCUCGACUCAUAUCCGUUCCUCGUCCUCCGUUGUUGACUCUCACAGUAAUGUAAUGUAUACUUCAAUUAAUAAUGUACAAGCACACGCGCUGCAUACCCAUGGGUAGACACAUACAGCUGCAUCCGGAUUCCCAGUUACUGUACGAAGCUCACGCGAAACACUCCAGAACCAACCCAACACACUUCAUCUCCCUUCCUAUAUAUAUAUAUAUAUGUAGAGGCCCUGGCCUUCUCCUCCUCUUCCUACAAGACACACAACAAUCUCGCCUCUCCUCUCCUCUCCUCUCCUCUCCUCUCCUCUUCUAAAAUGGCUGCUUCUCACUUGUUACUAGUACUAAGCAUGCUUCUGAUGAGCUUAGCCCGUGCGUCCACGGGGUCUCGAAAACUCGCAGCUUUGUACCAGCCACAACCGAACCUCCUCACGUACCACGACGGCGCGGUGCUCGAAGGCGACAUCCCCGUCUCCGUCCUCUGGUACGGUCGCUUCACCCCGGCCCAAAAAUCCAUCGUCUCCGAUUUCCUCCUCUCCCUGAUGGCCCCCGCUCCCCAGACGCAAACCGCUGCCCCUUCCGUGUCCCAGUGGUGGGGCAGCAUCGACCGGCUCUACCUGUCCAAGGCCGCGGCGGGGGAGGGGGAGGGGAAGGCCCGGAUCCUGCUGGGCGAUCAGGUGUCGGACGAGGGGUGCUCUCUGGGGAAGUCGCUGACGACGCCGCAGGUGGCGGAGCUGGCGGGAAAAGCACGGGGGGCGGCGAAGAAGGGCGGCGGGAUCGCGGUGGUGCUCACGGCCGACGACGUGGCGGUCGAGGGCUUCUGCGUCAGCCGCUGCGGGGCCCACGCCUCGGACCGGGACUCCGGCGCCGCCUACGUGUGGGUCGGGAACGCGGCGGCCCAGUGCCCCGGCCAGUGCGCCUGGCCCUUCCACCGCCCCAUCUACGGCCCACAGACCCCGCCGUUGGUGGCCCCCAACGGCGACGUCGGGGUCGACGGCAUGGUGAUCAACCUCGCCAGCAUGAUCGCCGGCGCCGUCACGAACCCGUUCGGGGACGGGUUCUUCCAGGGGCCCAAGGAGGCGCCGUUAGAGGCGGCGACGGCGUGCGCGGGGGUGUACGGGAAGGGGGCGUAUCCGGGGUACGCCGGGGACCUGCUCGUGGACCCCGCCACGGGGGCGAGCUACAACGCCAAUGGGGCCCACGGCAGGAAGUACUUGGUCCCGGCCCUGUUUGACCCGUCGACGUCCUCCUGCUCCACCUUGGUGUGAGACUGGGG